CCACACCUAAAAAACUUUCCACGUGAACCGUUUCAACCCAAUAGUUGGGGGUCUUAUUUGGCGGCGGCUGCUGGCUUAAUUGUUGGCGGCUGCUGCUGAGUGAGCCCUAUCAAAAAAAAGGCGAACGUUUGGGCUUCGGCCUGAUUUAGUAGUCUUUUUUUCUUUUAAACCCAUUCCUUAAUACUGAAUAUACUGUGGGGACGAAAGUCUCUGCUUUUAACUAGAUAGCAACUUUCAGCAGUGGAUGUCUAGGCUCGCACAUCGAUGAAGAACGCUGCGAACUGCGAUACGUAAUGCGAAUUGCAGGAUUCAGUGAGUCAUCGAAAUUUUGAACGCAUAUUGCACUUCCGGGUUAGUCCUGGAAGUAUGCCUGUAUCAGUGUCCGUACAUUAAACUUGACUUUCUUCCUUCCGUGUAGUCGGUGGAGGAGAUGUCAGAUGUGAAGUGUCUUGCGAUUGGUCUUCGGACCGGCUGCGAGUCCUUUUAAAUGUACUAAACUGAACUUCUCUUUGCUCGAAAAGUGGUGGCGUUGCUGGUUGUGAAGGCUGCUAUUGUGGCAAAUUGGCGACUGGUUUGUCUGCUGCGGCRUUAAUGGAAGAGUGUUCGAUUCGUGGUAUGGUUGGCUUCGGCUGAACAAUGCACUUAUUGGACGUUUUUCCUGCUGUGGCGUGAUGGACUGGUGAACCAUAGCUCGGUGGCUUGGCUUUUGAAUUGGCUUUGCUGUUGCGAAGUAGGGUGGCAGCUUCGGUUGUCGAGGGUCGAUCCAUUUGGGAACUUAAUGUGUACUUCGGUAUGCAUCUCAA
The sequence is a ribosomal RNA, 803 nucleotides long. The stretch from base 230 to 384 matches the Rfam family "5.8S ribosomal RNA".